Molecule: ribosomal RNA, 37 nt
Filed under: Opuntia cespitosa
Lineage: Eukaryota; Viridiplantae; Streptophyta; Magnoliopsida; Caryophyllales; Cactaceae
Description: partial 26S ribosomal RNA
Source: RNAcentral
CGACCCCAGGUCAGGCGGGGGCUACCCGCUGAGUUUA